RNAcentral lists this ribosomal RNA (128 nucleotides) under Macrococcoides goetzii. RNAcentral describes it as "Macrococcus goetzii partial 23S ribosomal RNA". It matches the Rfam family "Bacterial large subunit ribosomal RNA", at positions 2799 to 2925 of the family's 2925-position model. Lineage: Bacteria; Bacillati; Bacillota; Bacilli; Caryophanales; Staphylococcaceae. The record is from RNAcentral.
UCAAGAUGAGAUUUCCCAACUUCGGUUAUAAGAUCCCUCAAAGAUGAUGAGGUUAAUAGGUUCGAGGUGGAAGUACAGUAAUGUAUGGAGCUGACGAAUACUAAUCGAUCGAAGACUUAAUCAAUUUU